Molecule: ribosomal RNA, 432 nt
Filed under: uncultured Clostridium sp.
Lineage: Bacteria; Bacillati; Bacillota; Clostridia; Eubacteriales; Clostridiaceae
Description: bacterial SSU rRNA
Rfam family: Bacterial small subunit ribosomal RNA
Source: RNAcentral
AACGCGAAGAACCUUACCUAGACUUGACAUCUCCUGCAUUACUCUUAAUCGAGGAAGUCCCUUCGGGGACAGGAUGACAGGUGGUGCAUGGUUGUCGUCAGCUCGUGUCGUGAGAUGUUGGGUUAAGUCCCGCAACGAGCGCAACCCUUAUUGUUAGUUGCCAUCAUUAAGUUGGGCACUCUAGCGAGACUGCCCGGGUUAACCGGGAGGAAGGUGGGGGUGACGUCAAAUCAUCAUGCCCCUUAUGUCUAGGGCUACACACGUGCUACAAUGGUCGGUACAAUAAGACGCAAGCCCGCGAGGGGGAGCAAAACUGGAAAACCGAUCUCAGUUCGGAUUGUAGGCUGAAACUCGCCUACAUGACGCUGGGGUUGCUAGUAAUCGCGAAUCAGCAUGUCGCGGUGAAUACGUUCCCGGGUCUUGUACACACCG